This 253-nucleotide ribosomal RNA is filed under the name uncultured bacterium. Its description in RNAcentral is "partial 16S ribosomal RNA". It matches the Rfam family "Bacterial small subunit ribosomal RNA", at positions 524 to 776 of the family's 1533-position model. The record is from RNAcentral.
UACGUAGGCAGCAAGCGUUGUUCGGAGUUACUGGGCGUAAAGAGUGCGUAGGUGGUGCCCUAAGUCCGUUGUGAAAUCUCCCGGCUUAACUGGGAGGGUGCGGUGGAAACUGGGGUGCUUGAGUGUGGGAGAGGUAAGCGGAAUUCCUGGUGUAGCGGUGAAAUGCGUAGAUAUCAGGAGGAACACCGGUGGUGUAGACGGCUUACUGGACCACGACUGACACUGAGGCACGAAAGCGUGGGUAGCAAACAGG